Molecule: non-coding RNA, 56 nt
Filed under: unclassified sequences
Description: Li+-I sequence
Rfam family: nhaA-I RNA
About the family: Acidobacteria, Alphaproteobacteria, Betaproteobacteria and Gammaproteobacteria, Verrucomicrobia, cand. division NC10. Downstream gene
Source: Rfam by way of RNAcentral
GGGUGCUUGCUGCAUGACGUGGCGAGGCAGGCAAUAGCGUCGGUCGGGCCGCCACG